AUACGUAGGGGGCAAGCGUUAUCCGGAUUUACUGGGUGUAAAGGGAGCGUAGACGGUAGGGUAAGUCAGAUGUGAAAGCCCGGGGCUCAACCCCGGGAUUGCAUUUGAAACUAUCCGACUAGAGUGCAGGAGAGGUAAGUGGAAUUCCUAGUGUAGCGGUGAAAUGCGUAGAUAUUAGGAGGAACACCAGUGGCGAAGGCGGCUUACUGGACUGUAACUGACGUUGAGGCUCGAAAGCGUGGGGAGCAAACAGGAUUAGAUACCCUGGUAGUCCACGCCGUAAACGAUAAAUACUAGGUGUUGGGGAGCAUAAGCUCUUCGGUGCCGUAGCAAACGCAUUAAGUAUUCCACCUGGGGAGUACGUUCGCAAGAAUGAAACUCAAAGGAAUUGACGGGG
RNAcentral lists this ribosomal RNA (397 nucleotides) under uncultured bacterium. RNAcentral describes it as "partial 16S ribosomal RNA". It matches the Rfam family "Bacterial small subunit ribosomal RNA", at positions 523 to 918 of the family's 1533-position model. The record is from RNAcentral.